Molecule: ribosomal RNA, 253 nt
Filed under: uncultured bacterium
Lineage: Bacteria
Description: partial 16S ribosomal RNA
Rfam family: Bacterial small subunit ribosomal RNA
Source: RNAcentral
GACGAACCGAGCGAACGUUAUUCGGAAUCACUGGGCUUAAAGGGCGCGUAGGCGGGCCGUCAAGUCGAGGGUGAAAUCCCCCAGCUCAACUGGGGAAGUGCCUCCGAUGCUGGCGGCCUCGAGGGGGAUAGGGGCAUGCGGAACUUCCGGUGGAGCGGUGAAAUGCGUAGAUAUCGGAAGGAACACCUGUGGCGAAGGCGGCCUUCUGGACGAUGACUGACGCUGAGACACGAAAGCGUGGGGAGCAAACAGG